UGGGGAAUUUUGGACAAUGGGGGCAACCCUGAUCCAGCCAUGCCGCGUGAGUGAAGAAGGCCUUCGGGUUGUAAAGCUCUUUCGGCGGGGAAGAAAUUGCACUCUCUAAUACAGGGUGUAGAUGACGGUACCUGAAGAAUAAGCACCGGCUAACUACGUGCCAGCAGCCGCGGUAAUACGGAGGGUGCAAGCGUUGUUCGGAUUUAUUGGGCGUAAAGCGCGUGUAGGCGGUUUUGUAAGUCUGAUGUGAAAGCCCCGGGCUCAACCUGGGAAGUGCAUUGGAAACUGCACGGCUAGAGUGUGACAGAGGGGGGUAGAAUUCCACGUGUAGCAGUGAAAUGCGUAGAGAUGUGGAGGAAUACCGAUGGCGAAGGCAGCCCCCUGGGUUACUACUGACGCU
Molecule: ribosomal RNA, 400 nt
Filed under: uncultured bacterium
Lineage: Bacteria
Description: bacterial SSU rRNA
Rfam family: Bacterial small subunit ribosomal RNA
Source: RNAcentral